UUCAAAAAAACAGAGCGAAAGAAUGGAAACCAGAACUUUUCCCCUUCUGGUGGGAAUGGCUAAACACAAAAUCUGGGAGUGGGUGUACGUGGAGCAGAGGAAAUCACUCUUUCUACCUGGAUUGCCAGGUAUAAUAAGGCUUUUGGGGAGAGGGAGGAACCCCGCAUAAGAAUAAUUUGGAGGAAGGAGCAACUCUUUCGGAAGCGCUUUCCUUUUCGAAAGGGACCCCACGCGAGUGUCGAUUCCAGUCCAAAAGCGAGUCCUCUCCCCACCUCGCCACUUUCUUCUCAGUUACAGACAAGGAAAACAGACCUCCUCCCCAAGCCAGGAAUUGUUUAAAAAAGAAGGAGGGAAAGAGGGGGAAAAAAAAAAAAAAGCAAGAGAGAGAGAGAAAUUGGGGGGGGGGUGCGAAGCAGAAGAGGCGGAACAACCCUAAGCAAAAUGGAAAAGAAGGGAAAAUAUACCCGAGAACGUACCUGCGGAGUCCUGUUUGUAGUUUUGGCCAGCAAUGGAGAGAAGAAGAAGCAUGAAAAAGCCGCGGAGUGGAGGAAGGGGAAAAAAAAAGGUGCAGGGAGCUGGAGCUGGCGGAGGGGGAAGCAAAAUUGGUCAAAAGCCUCGCCAAGAGUUGUCGGAAGGGACCGUUAUUCCUGCUGGGCAGGAGAGAGAGGAGAGAGGACCCUGAAACACACGCCACCUAUCUUUGUGGGGAGGGAUAAUUGAAGAGCACCAAACCAAACACGCUUCCGUGGAAGUAAAUCCUCCUGCCAUCGGUAGGACGUACCGCCCAGUGGAUGUACUCAUACUCCCAAGGGAAGGUCUCUCCUUUGCUCCUAUCGCUCAGGUAUUGUUGUGUGUGUGUGUGUACAGAUUUGGACUUCCCCCCUCCCCUUGAGGUGGAUGCAAAACAGAAAGGGGAGCAAUGAGAGUUCUCUCUUUCUCAGGGUUGUUGACAAGAGGGACAGAAAGAAAACAGCAAAAUUGAAAGGUGGUAUAAAAAUGCUUAUAAGUUUAUACAUACGGCACGGAUAUACAGUAUACUGAAAAUACAGAUUGUCCCCCCCUCUGUGUGUGUAAUACAGAAAUGGAGGCUGAGAAAGAACUAGUUUACUCAAAAGUAAACCCUCAGUUCUCAGGGGGACUUAGUUUGUAGUAAUUGUCUUUUAUGAUUUCAGCAAGAGAAAUGUACAGAUUUACCUGGACCUCCACAAAGCACAGGAGGUGGGAGUUAUGUCUAGGUAUGUGCACGGCAAUGUGUGUAUGUAGGGUAUGUGUGCGUGUGCGCAACAAUCAUGGUGGCCCACACGGAUAGAUAUAACGAUACCUUGAGAGGGGAAAGUUGAGUGAGCUCGCUGCUCCGCAUUUCAUAGGAGUAAAAAGUCUUUGGGGAGACUUUGGAAAAGAUUAACAUGAAAAUUAAGCCCUUAGACUCCACCUUUGCACUGUAGGGAUUGGUUAUGCAAAACGGGAAGGGAUUUCCUGGCGAAUACCGCUUUCUACUGUAUGGUUAAUUAAAUCAUCACUCAAAAAGGUUUCCAAUGUGACGCGCCUGUCCUAAUCCAAUCAGGUUACGUAGGUCCUAAAACAAGAAAGAUAUUCCUUUUCCCCACAUCUGGAAGUCAGCAAUUUAGCAAGUACUGCACAUUAUUAACCAAUUCCGAGUCCACAUUCCCAGGGGGACCUUUAAAACGCACACACGCACGCACACGCAUCCACAACCGCUUAAAGUGUGUU
Molecule: long non-coding RNA, 1731 nt
Filed under: Pogona vitticeps (central bearded dragon)
Lineage: Eukaryota; Metazoa; Chordata; Lepidosauria; Squamata; Agamidae
Description: lncRNA (ENSPVIG00000005335.1)
Source: RNAcentral